UAUGAGUCAAGUUGUAGGAUCAAGAUCACAAUUAAGAAAGACUCAAUUAAACUAUAAAACUUCGUCUUGAGCUUGAAUCUCGUUGUAUAUCAAUUGUGCGCUUGUUUCUUGAACUUCGUCAUAUAUCAAUUUUCGCUUCGUUUGUCAUUCAUCAAAACCUAUACAAAAGAACACACGUUUUAGUAUAUUGCAUUGAGAACGUGUUUCCAACAAUA
RNAcentral lists this long non-coding RNA (215 nucleotides) under Nicotiana benthamiana. Its description in RNAcentral is "long non-coding RNA (NBEN_LNC010155)". The record is from RNAcentral. Lineage: Eukaryota; Viridiplantae; Streptophyta; Magnoliopsida; Solanales; Solanaceae.